GACUGCUAAUACCGCAUAAGCGCACGGUAUCGCAUGAUACAGUGUGAAAAACUCCGGUGGUAUAAGAUGGACCCGCGUCUGAUUAGCUAGUUGGUGAGGUAACGGCCCACCAAGGCGACGAUCAGUAGCCGGCCUGAGAGGGUGAACGGCCACAUUGGGACUGAGACACGGCCCAAACUCCUACGGGAGGCAGCAGUGGGGAAUAUUGCACAAUGGGGGAAACCCUGAUGCAGCGACGCCGCGUGAGUGAUGAAGUAUUUCGGUAUGUAAAACUCUAUCAGCAGGGAAGAUAAUGACGGUACCUGACUAAGAAGCACCGGCUAAAUACGUG
RNAcentral lists this ribosomal RNA (331 nucleotides) under uncultured bacterium. RNAcentral's name for it is "bacterial SSU rRNA". It matches the Rfam family "Bacterial small subunit ribosomal RNA", at positions 158 to 507 of the family's 1533-position model. The record is from RNAcentral.